Long non-coding RNA from Oxyura jamaicensis (ruddy duck), 4256 nucleotides. RefSeq lists it as uncharacterized. The record is from RefSeq and is a predicted model, not a curated record. The transcript is spliced from 3 exons. Lineage: Eukaryota; Metazoa; Chordata; Aves; Anseriformes; Anatidae.
UGAUUAGCCAAAUGAAGUGAACAUGCAGAUAACCUUUUGUAGGAAGGGUCCUUUUAUGUGUCUAUGGCAGACCAGACCUUUUUUCAUCUUGGAGGCACUGGGAAGAGGAAGUGCAGAUGAGGGUUGUCACAUGCUGGUCCAAACCUCCAGUGGCUGGCAGGGAAGAAAUUAGUCAGCCCCUUAGCACCAGCUGGAGGAAGUUCUGUGCUGCAGGGUCUUCAGACUGGUGUUCACCCUUUCCAAGCCAUGGUACCAGAAUUACUCAUCCUGGGCUGUUUUCUGGGCAUUAGUGAACUCCCAUGGAAGGAUUUUUCCUGUAGCCUGGUGUUGACAACCCACUCCUGCUCUUCUUCUACCUGAAAAAGAACUGAGAAGUUUUCAGAAGCUGUUUAAGUUUUGUGUAUUCCAAGGAGUCUAGGCAUGAAAUGCUAGUGCACAUGGUCUUUCCAUGAAGAUCUUGCCUUUCCUGCAGGAACAGCAGCUUGGCAGCAGGGCUGGGAGCAUGUCACUGCUGGGACCUGGCCACAGCUGGCAGUCGCUGCUGCCUCUGCAUGCAUCUUCUUGCUCUUGGUGAGUCCCUUCUGUGGGUGCUGGAGUGAGGCAGCUGCUAUGCCCAGAGCCACUGAUGCCCCUAUGGUGGCUGAGCCCUGCUGCACCCAGUCCUUAAGGCUCUGGGAGCAGGGUGUUCCUGGCCACUCCCACAUUGCCAGCAGUACAGCACCAACAGUGCUGUGCUUGUGGUCCCCAAGGGCACUGACAUGGGAAGACCAUGAGGAGGGCUGUGCUUGAAGGCAGAUCUAGCUGCAUCCUGCCUGGCCCCCAAUUAGCAGAGCAUGUAUGAGGACAAUAGUCCAGCCACAGAGACAACUCAGGGAUGUCUGAGCAUCAGCAUUUCUGUGCCAUGCUGUGUGGGGCACUCAGGAAAUGCUGGGAGAACCAGGGCCUGCUAGAAAGAUGCUGCAGGGCUCUUUCUGACAGGACAUGUCUUCAGAAGUGAACAUGGUGCCACAGGGCUUGCUGUCAAGCUUAUUGGGUGCUGACUGCAGGCCACAAAGCCACCCACAGCUAGUCUGUCCCAGUUUAUCACAGUCCUGUUUUCUGCUGUUCUUGGCAGAGGAAUCUGGUGUUGUCUCCUUGCCUUUUUCCACAAGGCAUGAACCCCACACUGUGCCUUGCAGCUGCACUGACUAGCUUGUCAUCUUCCAGUAACUGCUUGUUUUUCCCCAGUGGAAGAGAAAGUGUUUUGGUAAUCCCAACGAAUGAAGGAGCUUUCUUAAUUAAAGUAAUAAUCUGAAAGUUGUCAUUGAUAAGAGUGUAAACAAGCUGAUUGCAGUGGGCGCCUGAAUAGCUCUAAUGAGCACGUGUGGGUAUUAAAUUAACCAUGGUUCACAAGCCAUGCAUGGCUGUACAGUUAUUUAGAAAUAACCAAUUUUCCCUGGUGCUCAACCCUGCCUACCACCCCAAAAACCUUGUCUUACUAUAGUAUUGCACAACAGAAAGGAAUCUGCUUCUCUCGCAAGUCUCUUGGGCUUUACAGUAAAUUAUUGCUUUUAAGGGAGAAGGUAAGGCAGCCUGUGCUAUUGGCAUUUUUCCCUUAGAUGAAGUGCUACCCAGUGGGUGGAGCAUGGGUGUUCAGCAUCAACCUGUCCUUGCUAGUGGGUUGUCCCAGGGUCCUCAGAGGUGGCAUUUCACUGCUGGACGUGGUGGAGAGCCCUGUCUGUGAAAUGGGAGAACAAUGGCUCUUGCAAGGCUCUCGUGCUGUUAACGAGCUCCUUGGAGGAACAGCCCUACAGAAGUGCAAAUGAUCUUUCUUUCUUUCUGUUAAUUAUUGAUAUAUUUAUUCAUUGCAGUAAGCAGAGUGGAAACAGUGGGGUUAUGGUAGACUCAGCUGAUCUGUGAGUGGAAGUACAGUGGGUUCUUGUGGUGGUCACAAGGAGCUUCUGGACCUGCAGCUCUCAUCUGUUUAUGCUGGUGGGCAUCUGAACAAGUCUUGCAUCUCCAGGUCCAGGAACAUCUCCAUAAUUUGAUUGAAAUAGUCUUGUGUGUGUACCAUCCAUCUUUCGGAAUGGAAACAAAAUGUUAAACUUAUUCUGACUGGCUUUCCUGGGUGAUCCUGUAUACAGCUUAAAAUGGUGAAGGAGGAUACAACUGCAGGGUGCAGUUUGGCUUCCAGAGAUUAAAGUACAGCAUUUUCCUUGAUCCAGAGGAAUUCAUUUUGUGUGCUGCUAUAUACUGGAGGCAGUUCGACCUGAUCUCCCAUUUUAAUACCAACUUGUUCUCCUUUGCUGUCCUUUCAAAUUAUCAUAUUAUGACAUGGAAAAUCAGCCUCCUGCUAACUACUGUUUCACUACAAAUAGCCUCCUUUCUUUUGAGUGCUGAGAUUUGGCAGAGAAUUAAGGUGGAAGAGAGAUGCCGAAUUUGUGACAUUACCAAAGACAACUAUAGGUCUUUGUUUUGUGAUGCAAGUCAGUUUAAACAAAAAUGAAAUAUCCUACUCAUUGUGUGUCCCCUGUCCCCAGCUUGUGACCACUACAUGUGCUUUUUUCCUGUUGGGAUAACAAGUACUGGCUUUAGGAAACUGCUACAGCUUGCUGUGUGUAUAUCGCUCUACAUCUUCCAUUCAUAUAUCUACUAUGUUAUUAUCACAGGUGUUAGACUCUUCUGGGUCUGCACAGUCAUCAGACAAAUGAAUAACCAGUGUAACCUUGGCUUUAAAGAUCUUUGUGUUUACCAAGUUGUCAUCUUUUUAUCUGCAAAAAGUAAGGGAGGAGGUUUCUGAGGAGGCUGUUUCCUUCCACUUUCUGUAACUGGCACUGUCUGAUGUGGUGUGUGUUUUCAUAUCUCAUGCACAUCCCCUUUCACCUGUCAGUUGGGAUCAUAUAUCCAUGCCCUGGUGAGUGAGCUGUGGGGUGGCAGUCACUGUGCUCUGGGACAGUCUUACUUCUAGCUCAGGCAUCUUGGAAACAGAUCUACAGCACCUUGCUCUGCUGGGCCUUCUCUCUCUUUUUUUUCUUUUAAGUUCUUGGAGGCACAAGAACUGUCUUCAGGCCCACACAGGAUCAGAUGUUUUUUUUUUUUUUUUUUUUUUUUUUUUUUUUUGUGAGGUCAGCAGUGUGAAGAUAGAUAUGAAACUCUGCACUUGUCUGCCUUGACAAAGACAGCUCCAUGAAAAAGUGUUGUACUCCCUAGAAGUAGGAGAUGUGAAGAAUGGGAAAAGAAAAGGGAUUUGUCCAAUCUUUUCUAGUAAAUCAUUGGAAGAGUUGCAUAAGUCUUCAUCCCUGAGCCCUUGCAUUUUCUGUUCAGUACUGUUAAGUGAAGUAGCUGGAAUGUGUGAAGAAAGAAGCUUGACCCCAUGUCAGAGCUGAUACAGGCCACAAGUAUCCCUGUUCUUUCUCUGACAGAUUUAAUGGUUCCUGAUCCCCUGGGCUGGCUGCUUGCCUAAGCAGCUCUGUGGUGCUACAGUGUGGGCCCUGCUCUUCCUGAGAGGCCUGGUGCUAAAUAAUUCUGUCUUGAAAGGAAAAAACGAAACUGGUAGGGAUGUUUGAGCAGAGAUGUGUGCCGUGCACACAUUUGAGUUCACAUUGGAAGUCCCAGUUGGAAUUUCUACACCUGUGUGUGAUCUGUCUGGAUAACUUCCCUUUCCUAACAAAGGAAAGGCAACAUUGCCCUGCUGCUGUGAAGCACUCUCCUGGCAGCCCCAUGCCUGUUCAAUUUGCACAAGUCCAAACUAGCUGUAGGAAGAGAGGUGUGUGCUAAGCUUGCUGCUCACAGCCCUGUGCUGAAGGCAAGGUCUGGAUCUCCAGGAACUGUGGGGAACUACAACCUUUGGGUGUAUUUCUUCUGUGACACAGAGCAAGGCUUACUGAAGAUUCAGAGUUUCAGGGUUUAGCAGGAGUUGCCAUUUCACACUGCCAACCAACAGUCUGCAUAUAUGCAAUAUAAUUAACACCAGAAAUUCUGACUCCUGAGGCUAUAGGGUUAAACAAAUGUGUCCCCAUUAAACUUGAAUAAUAUGAGGUUAACUCAUUAGGAAAAGAACACUCUUGAUGUGCUUAAUGGAGGAAGAGAACGUUAACUCUUACAGUUCCUUGCCAACAUACACAUUAGUUUAACUUUCCUUUGAAAGUUGUUUUUUUUUUUUUUUUUUUUUUUUCUAUAGAAUACUUUACAAAAUCCCCCAAGUGAUCUCCUGUGUGUUUUGUAUGAAUCAUCUUUGAUUUCCUGAUUAUUGGUCUGCUUGUCUCCUUUGGAGUCUU